RNAcentral lists this ribosomal RNA (553 nucleotides) under uncultured bacterium. Its description in RNAcentral is "bacterial SSU rRNA". It matches the Rfam family "Bacterial small subunit ribosomal RNA", at positions 339 to 906 of the family's 1533-position model. The record is from RNAcentral.
CUACGGGAGGCAGCAGUGGGGAAUUUUCCGCAAUGGGCGAAAGCCUGACGGAGCAAUACCGCGUGAGGGAAGACGGCCUAUGGGUUGUAAACCUCUUUUUUCAGGGAGGAAUUUUGACGUGUACCUGAAGAAUAAGCAUCGGCUAACUCCGUGCCAGCAGCCGCGGUAAGACGGAGGAUGCAAGUGUUAUCCGGAAUCACUGGGCGUAAAGCGUCUGUAGGUGGUUAAGCAAGUCAACUGUUAAAUCUUGAGGCUCAACUUCAAAAUCGCAGUCGAAACUGUUUGACUAGAGUAUAGUAGGGGUAAAGGGAAUUUCCAGUGGAGCGGUGAAAUGCGUAGAUAUUGGAAAGAACACCGAUGGCGAAGGCACUUUACUGGGCUAUUACUGACACUCAGAGACGAAAGCUAGGGUAGCAAAUGGGAUUAGAUACCCCAGUAGUCCUAGCCGUAAACAAUGGAUACUAGAUGUUGAACAGAUCGACCUGUGCAGUAUCAAAGCUAACGCGUUAAGUAUCCCGCCUGGGAAGUAUGCUCGCAAGGGUGAAACUCAAAU